Molecule: ribosomal RNA, 466 nt
Filed under: uncultured bacterium
Lineage: Bacteria
Description: partial 16S ribosomal RNA
Rfam family: Bacterial small subunit ribosomal RNA
Source: RNAcentral
GAUGAACGCUGGCGGCGUGCUUAACACAUGCAAGUCGAACGAUGAAGCCCAGCUUGCUGGGUGGAUUAGUGGCGAACGGGUGAGUAACACGUGAGUAACCUGCCCUUAACUCUGGGGUAAGCCUGGGAAACUGGGUCUAAUACCGGAUAGGAGCGUCCACCGCAUGGUGGGUGUUGGAAAGAUUUAUCGGUUUUGGAUGGACUCGCGGCCUAUCAGCUUGUUGGUGAGGUAAUGGCUCACCAAGGCGACGACGGGUAGCCGGCCUGAGAGGGUGACCGGCCACACUGGGCCUGAGACACGGCGCAGACUCCUACGGGAGGCAGCGGUGGGGAAUAUUGCACAAUGGGCGCAAGCCUGAUGCAGCGACGCCGCGUGAGGGAUGACGGCCUUCGGGUUGUAAACCUCUUUCGGUAGGGAAGAAGCGAAAGUGACGGUACCUGCAGAAGAAGCACCGGCUAACUACGUG